AUUCCAGCUCCAAUAGCGUAUAUUAAUGUUGUUGCAGUUAAAAAGCUCGUAGUUGGAUUUCUGGUCGGAACGCCGGUCCGGCUCCGCAAGGGGUCGUGUAUUGGUUUCUCCUGCCAUCCUCAGGGGGAGCUGCGCUGGUAUUCAUUUAUCGGCGUGGUUACGCCUGUCGUUUACUGUGAACAAAUUAGAGUGUUCAAAGCAAGGUGUACUUGAAUACAUUAGCAUGGAAUAAUAAGAUAGGACUUUGGUGGUUCUUUUUGAUAUUUUGUUGGUUUGCACGCCAAAGUAAUGAUUAAUAGGAGCAGUUGGGGGUAUUCGUAUUCAAUCGUCAGAGGUGAAAUUCUUGGAUUUAUAGAAGACGAACUACUGCGAAAGCAUUUACCAAGGAUGUUUUCAUUA
This 399-nucleotide ribosomal RNA is filed under the name Pedinellales sp. RNAcentral's name for it is "partial small subunit ribosomal RNA". It matches the Rfam family "Eukaryotic small subunit ribosomal RNA", at positions 582 to 975 of the family's 1831-position model. Lineage: Eukaryota; Dictyochophyceae; Pedinellales. The record is from RNAcentral.